RNAcentral lists this ribosomal RNA (422 nucleotides) under uncultured Chitinophaga sp. RNAcentral describes it as "bacterial SSU rRNA". It matches the Rfam family "Bacterial small subunit ribosomal RNA", at positions 355 to 774 of the family's 1533-position model. The record is from RNAcentral. Lineage: Bacteria; Pseudomonadati; Bacteroidota; Chitinophagia; Chitinophagales; Chitinophagaceae.
UAAGGAAUAUUGGUCAAUGGACGCAAGUCUGAACCAGCCAUGCCGCGUGGAGGAUGAAGGUCCUCUGGAUUGUAAACUUCUUUUAUCUGGGAAGAAAUGUAUUUUUUCUAAAGUACUUGACGGUACCAGAUGAAUAAGCACCGGCUAACUCCGUGCCAGCAGCCGCGGUAAUACGGAGGGUGCAAGCGUUAUCCGGAUUCACUGGGUUUAAAGGGUGCGUAGGCGGAUUUGUAAGUCCGUGGUGAAAUCUCCGAGCUUAACUCGGAAACUGCCAUGGAUACUAUAAGUCUUGAAUGUUGUGGAGGUUUGCGGAAUAUGUCAUGUAGCGGUGAAAUGCUUAGAUAUGACAUAGAACACCGAUUGCGAAGGCAGCAGGCUACACAAAUAUUGACGCUGAGGCACGAAAGCGUGGGGAUCAAACA